RNAcentral lists this long non-coding RNA (771 nucleotides) under Pan troglodytes (chimpanzee). RNAcentral describes it as "long non-coding RNA NONPTRT017463". Lineage: Eukaryota; Metazoa; Chordata; Mammalia; Primates; Hominidae. The record is from RNAcentral.
CUGCUUAUCUUGCUCUUCAUUGCCUUUGUUUGGUAGAGAGUGGAGUGAGCAACACAACUGGAAAACAGGAAGAAAUUGAAAGCAUUAAAAAAUGGUAAAAUGAAAGUAAAACUGUCACUAUUGGAACGUGGUAUGACUGUAUUCCUGAAAAACCCAAGGGGGAGAAAGCAGCAACAAUGCAUGUGCCAGUGAAUUCCACUCUUGCAAUCAAUAGGUUGCAUUGCUCCUGCCUCCAGAAUUCCCAAUUGAUCCUCAUUUUUCAGCUUGACUCUCAGCUUUGCUUAAGAAUUCUGUUUAAACUCACUUUGGAUCUUCCUGCUCCUUGCUGCCCCAUCCCAGUUCGGUCCUUAGAACUUAAAUCCUGACAGUGAUAUACUUGGCUGAUGCUUCAACCAGGACCACCAGGUUUAGUCAUAAGCGUGAAAGGAAGCAAGUUACACUGCUCCAUCUUAUCCACAUGGAUUUCAUGAAAGGGCCCGAUAACUUAUUAAAAUCCAUCCUCUCUUCUCCGGACUCUUAAUAUUGAGAACUGAAACCAUUUACUCCUACACAGCUUACUAUCUACGUUAACAUGACUUUAAUUUCAAUUGUCUUCACAUCCCAAGACUUUGUGCUCCUGGCUUCAAAACGACCUCUUUUCUUUUUUCACCAAUCCUAAUAUUCUAUCAUAGCCCUUACCCUAUCCUAAUUAAGCCCUCUCUAUUGCACUCACCCCUGCUCUGACAGACCUGCCUUAAACUAGACUUCAAAAUCUGAAUAAAUCAAAUCUUG